Cyprinus carpio (common carp) is the source of this 2556-nucleotide long non-coding RNA. RefSeq lists it as uncharacterized. The transcript is spliced from 5 exons. Lineage: Eukaryota; Metazoa; Chordata; Actinopteri; Cypriniformes; Cyprinidae. The record is from RefSeq and is a predicted model, not a curated record.
CCAAUACCCACAUGGCACUGAAAUGUCUCCUGCUAUGUCACAUCAAUAGAAAAUCAGUUCAAAGGCUGACCCAUCUUUCGAGGUUGUGGCAUGUCACGAUGCACAUCUGUGGUCUGGCCUGUGGUAGUUUCUGGGAUGGAGGGAGUCUACAGGAAUAACAUCGAUGAUGUUGAGAGAUAUCUCAAUUCUACAUGCAAAUGCAGAAGCGACUGGUGCAGGCACUGACGAACACAGCGACGUGAAGCCCGUGAGCCAGUGGCUGAACCGGGUCGAACCAGGCGUUUAAGGCAAGUACGAAAACCCCCAUGUGUUUGGUGGAUAAAGUUUUUGUAUUUGCUGAUUUCUCAGUGCAGUCGUGAUAUUCAGGUCAGAGCCACAGCCCAGAGAGAAGUGCAUAUAUGAUCUGAAGCUUGUGAAGAUGCUACGACGUUGCGGCCCACGGGGGAAUUCCUCUUCACACUGGAGCGGUGAGAUUUGGAGAGCCGUGGCUAGGAUGUGCUCCGCUUUAUAAAGACUUCAUCAGACAGUACUGCUCGGCUCUGGACGCAGGAACAUGAUGUCACAGCCAGACGGCCCCUAGGUCCCCACGCACCAUCCAGUCCAAAGUUCUGAUCCUGACGUCACUGUAACAUCGACCAUCUGUGCUCCACGCUAUGUUCAAUGGUAACAGACCGUCAGUGUGUUUUUUAAUUCAGCUAUGCUGCCAGAUCCUGAAGACAGACUACAGAAAAGCCAGUUGCCCAGGUAAAGCAGGUACGACUUAUUAUUUUAGUUAUUUUUAAACUCACUUGCUCAUUAUGAUGAGAUCUACUUUGUACAUCUCAAAGAAACAAGGCCAGUUUGACCACCUCUCUUUUACUGCAUAAAAAAGAUACAGAUAAAUCAGUAGUAACUAAACUACAAAUACUAACCUUGAAUAUGAAUCAAAACACAAAGAAAGCUUGAGAUUUGACUGAAAGUAAAGUGGCUUUAAGUUACAUUCAAAAGCUAAUUUUAUCAUUUUAAAAUUAAGGUUUUUAUUUCAUUGCAUUCACUGUGUAGUUUUUAAUUGUAACUCUUAUUAUGCAAAAACGUUUAAGAUGAAGACAUAUAUGAAGAUAUAUAUGUCGUUCAGGUGAAGGGUAAGGAAAGGUAUGAAAUAUUGAAGAAAAUAAACGACAGUUUGGAACUUAGCGACGUUAUGCCUCCAUGUGACUUAGACAAAUACAGACAGAAACUGAGUCUAUCGGCUCAAACAAGUCUGUAUUUUCACCUCCCAGUCCAAUCAGAACCUGUGGAGGUGUGCGUACAACAGCCAGGCAACUUAAAACUAGGAAACAACAGGAAUGGUAAAAGAUGGAUGUGUCUGCUUUUAACUCCAUGUCACAAAGCUGACAGGUCAGUAAAAAUUCAAUGUUUUUGUUUGAGUUCUAUUCUGAGAAAAUUGUUGUGGCUGCGUGGUGUGUCCUUUUUUAUUUCGGCUCCCAUGUUAAUAGGUUUGAGCUUGCACACUGCCUGCGAUCUUAGGCUGCAACAUCAUUCAAAUGGAAUAUGCGCUCUUUCAGCAGUCGGACUGACUGAAGGAGAUCUGACCAUGCAGGUUCUGGAGCUUUCUGAGGGACCUUUUUGGGCUAAUGAAGCAGAUGAUGGUGAGAUGGAUAUCGGCGUGGAUUUAAGUCUUGAUGAAAAUGGCAUUUUAUGGCUAGAGCCACUCUCAAAUGUCAGUCAUAUAACUGCAUUCACAGAACUUUCAGAGGAACACAGUGACGGCGUGCCCUCGGAGACCAUCUCAGCCUAACGCACCGGAUGUAGGACAGACAUGCUGUCUGGCCACACAACCAGAGAAAUUAACCUCAAUAAGGACAAGUACUGGCCCACGGACCUGACGGACCUCAGCCAAACUGCCAUGCUUUAGCUCUUGGGUCUCUGUGCAUCAGCUCAGCCAGCCACACAGCAGAAAGAGGAGGCGCACCAGCCCAUGUGCUUAAAGCACUACUGGUCCCAGGAGAUAGCAGAGCUUCCUCGACCCAUCCAGCAUCCAGGUGAGUCUUUAGAAAUGAAACAAUUCAUUCUAACACAAUGUCUGGUUUUCAGUGAGUCGGAGAAGAUAGUGUCUGAAAAGAAGCCCGCAGGAACGGUGUCUCCUCCGACAUGAAGUCCCACUCCAGAGCUCCGCCCUCAUCAGUGCAACACAACACAAUGGCCAGACACCUGGGUGUGGACACUUCCAUGCUCCGUAGAGCCAUCUGGAACUAUAUUCAGUGCAAGUUCGGGAUUCGGUAAGUCUCUUCACUGCUCACAGUUUCAGAAAUAUGUAGCAACAUUGAAUACAUUUAUUCAUUCUACAAAGAACCUUUUAAAAUGAUAAAGAUGUCUCCGAGACUCCCCCGGAGCCUUCAAAUAAGCACCAGCGGGAGAUCAUUUGUUUAUGCAUCUCAACAGGUCCAAGGCCAGCGGUUUAACAUACGCUUCUGGCAUGUGUGCGCUGAGAUGCUGGACCAGAGGAGGACAGACAUGCUGUACGGACAAGCUGUCUCUCCACUACUCACAGUUUGCAUUCAUGCAUUCAAUGUACCA